Rattus norvegicus (Norway rat) is the source of this 69-nucleotide non-coding RNA. Lineage: Eukaryota; Metazoa; Chordata; Mammalia; Rodentia; Muridae. The record is from Rfam.
GGGGAUUUGGCUCAGUGGUAGAGCACUUGCCUAGCAAGCGCAAGGCCCUGGGUUCGGUCCCCAGCUCCG